This 335-nucleotide ribosomal RNA is filed under the name Bacillus cereus. Its description in RNAcentral is "bacterial SSU rRNA". It matches the Rfam family "Bacterial small subunit ribosomal RNA", at positions 1 to 323 of the family's 1533-position model. The record is from RNAcentral. RNAcentral also lists the same sequence under 1 other name. Lineage: Bacteria; Bacillati; Bacillota; Bacilli; Caryophanales; Bacillaceae.
UUUAUUGGAGAGUUUGAUCCUGGCUCAGGAUGAACGCUGGCGGCGUGCCUAAUACAUGCAAGUCGAGCGAAUGGAUUAAGAGCUUGCUCUUAUGAAGUUAGCGGCGGACGGGUGAGUAACACGUGGGUAACCUGCCCAUAAGACUGGGAUAACUCCGGGAAACCGGGGCUAAUACCGGAUAACAUUUUGAACCGCAUGGUUCGAAAUUGAAAGGCGGCUUCGGCUGUCACUUAUGGAUGGACCCGCGUCGCAUUAGCUAGUUGGUGAGGUAACGGCUCACCAAGGCAACGAUGCGUAGCCGACCUGAGAGGGUGAUCGGCCACACUGGGACUGAG